This 702-nucleotide unclassified non-coding RNA is filed under the name Hevea brasiliensis (rubber tree). Lineage: Eukaryota; Viridiplantae; Streptophyta; Magnoliopsida; Malpighiales; Euphorbiaceae. The record is from RNAcentral.
CUUGAACAGUUUUGGGUUUGUGUUUUUGUUGGGUGUAGACUGUAGUAGCUUCAGCAUAAACAGCUUCAAUGUCGCUAUUCGGUUCCGGUGCCACUGCUGCUGCAAACACAAAUCCCAAUAAGUCUGUCGAGGUUCAACAACCUCCUUCUGAUUCUGUAUCAAGUCUCUGCUUCAGUCCCAAGGCUAAUCUUCUCGUUGCUAGUUCAUGGGAUAAUCAGGUGCGAUGUUGGGAAGUGAUGGGAAGUGGAACCAAUGUUGGAGCUGUACCCAAGGCCUCUAUAUCACAUGAACAGCCGGUUUUAUGCUCAACUUGGAAGGAUGAUGGGACAACUGUCUUCUCUGGAGGUUGUGACAAGCAAGUGAAAAUGUGGCCGCUAUCUGGUAGUCAACCUGUAACAGUAGGCAUGCAUGACGCUCCUGUCAAGGAAUUGGCUUGGAUCCCAGAGAUGAGUCUCUUGGUCACAGGAAGUUGGGAUAAGACUCUGAGGUACUGGGAUUUGAGACAACCAAAUCCAGCACAUGUCCAGCAACUUCCUGAGCGCUGCUAUGCACUUACAGUGAAACAUCCUCUGAUGGUUGCUGCCACAGCUGAUAGAAAUCUUAUAGUUUUCAAUUUGCAGAAUCCUCAGACUGAAUUCAAGAGAAUUGUCUCACCCUUAAAGUAUCAAACUCGGUGUUUAGCUGCCUUCCCUGAUAAACAAG